GCCGGCAUAGCUCAGCGGUUAGAGCAACAGACUCAUAAGCUGUAGGUCGGAGGUUCGAUCCCUCCUGCCGGCA
This 73-nucleotide transfer RNA is filed under the name Candidatus Nealsoniibacteriota bacterium. Its description in RNAcentral is "Candidatus Nealsonbacteria bacterium tRNA-Met". It matches the Rfam family "tRNA". Rfam says of the family: Transfer RNA (tRNA) molecules are approximately 80 nucleotides in length. Their secondary structure includes four short double-helical elements and three loops (D, anti-codon, and T loops). Further hydrogen bonds mediate the characteristic L-shaped molecular structure. tRNAs have two regions of fundamental functional importance: the anti-codon, which is responsible for specific mRNA codon recognition, and the 3' end, to which the tRNAs corresponding amino acid is attached (by aminoacyl-tRNA synthetases). tRNAs cope with the degeneracy of the genetic code in two manners: having more than one tRNA (with a specific anti-codon) for a particular amino acid; and 'wobble' base-pairing, i.e. permitting non-standard base-pairing at the 3rd anti-codon position. Lineage: Bacteria; Candidatus Nealsoniibacteriota. The record is from RNAcentral.